UACAGAGGGGGCAAGCGUUGUUCGGAAUUACUGGGCGUAAAGGGCGCGUAGGCGGCCUGUUAAGUCGAACGUGAAAUCCCCGGGCUCAACCCGGGAACUGCGUCCGAUACUGGCAGGCUUGAAUCCGGGAGAGGGAUGCGGAAUUCCAGGUGUAGCGGUGAAAUGCGUAGAUAUCUGGAGGAAUACCGGUGGCGAAGGCGGCAUCCUGGACCGGCAUUGACGCUGAUGAGCGAAAGCUAGGGGAGCAAACGGG
Molecule: ribosomal RNA, 253 nt
Filed under: uncultured bacterium
Lineage: Bacteria
Description: partial 16S ribosomal RNA
Rfam family: Bacterial small subunit ribosomal RNA
Source: RNAcentral